RNAcentral lists this ribosomal RNA (440 nucleotides) under uncultured bacterium. Its description in RNAcentral is "partial 16S ribosomal RNA". It matches the Rfam family "Bacterial small subunit ribosomal RNA", at positions 338 to 795 of the family's 1533-position model. The record is from RNAcentral.
CCUACGGGUGGCAGCAGUAGGGAAUAUUGCUCAAUGGGCGAAAGCCUGAAGCAGCAACGCCGCGUGGAUGAUGACGGCUUUAGGGUUUUAAACUCCUUUUUUUAGAGCAGCUUCUGACGGUACCUAUAGAAUAAGCACCGGCUAACUCCGUGCCAGCAGCCGCGGUAAUACGGGGGGUGCAAGCGUUACUCGGAAUCAUUGGGCGUAAAGGGUGCGUAGGCGGGGUUAUAAGUCUGAUGUUAAAUCCUGUAGGUUAACUACAGAACGGCAUUUGAAACUGGUUCUCUGGAUUGUGGGAGAGGUAGGGGGAAUGCGUGGUGUAGGGGUGAAAUGCGUAGAGAUCAAGAGGAACACUGAUGGCGAAGGCGACAUGCUGGACCAUUACUGACGCUGAGGAACGAAAGCGUGGGGAGCAAACAGGAUUAGAUACCCCAGUAGUC